UGGGGAAUCAUGGUCAAUGGGCGAAAGCCUGAACCUGAGACGCCGCGUGAGUGAUGAAGGUCGUAAGAUCGUAAAACUCUUUUCAGGGAUCUUAAAGCCUGUCUGUCAACAACAGGCAGGUCUGACUCUCCCUGGAAGAAGCCCCAGCCAACUACGUGCCAGCAGCUGCGGUAAUACGUAGGGGGCGAGCGUUAUUCGGAAUUACUGGGUGUAAAGGUAUGUAGGCGGCCCUUCAAGUCGCGUGUCAAAGUCCAGUGCUCAACGCUGGGUGUGCACGCGAUACUGACGGGCUUGAGGGCUGGAGAGGUGAGCGGAAGUCCCGGUGUAGUGGUAAAAUACGUAGAGAUCGGGAGGAACACCAGCGGCGCAGGCGGCUCACUAGACAGUUUCUGACGCUAAGAUACGAAAGCGUGGGGAGCAAACA
This 424-nucleotide ribosomal RNA is filed under the name uncultured prokaryote. RNAcentral describes it as "bacterial SSU rRNA". It matches the Rfam family "Bacterial small subunit ribosomal RNA", at positions 355 to 774 of the family's 1533-position model. The record is from RNAcentral.